This 270-nucleotide ribosomal RNA is filed under the name uncultured archaeon. Its description in RNAcentral is "partial 16S ribosomal RNA". It matches the Rfam family "Archaeal small subunit ribosomal RNA", at positions 477 to 747 of the family's 1478-position model. The record is from RNAcentral.
CAGCACCUCAAGUGGUCAGGAUGAUUAUUGGGCCUAAAGCAUCCGUAGCCGGCUCUGUAAGUUUUCGGUUAAAUCUGUAUGCUCAACAUACAGGCUGCCGGGAAUACUGCAGAGCUAGGGAGUGGGAGAGGUAGACGGUACUCGGUACGAAGGGGUAAAAUCCUUUGAUCUAGUGAUGACCACCUGUGGCGAAGGCGGUCUACCAGAACACGUCCGACGGUGAGGGAUGAAAGCUGGGGGAGCAAACCGGAUUAGAUACCCGAGUAGUCC